CCUACGGGUGGCAGCAGUAGGGAAUAUUGCUCAAUGGGGGAAACCCUGAAGCAGCAACGCCGCGUGGAGGAUGAAGGUUUUCGGAUUGUAAACUCCUUUUGUUAGAGAAGAAAAUGACGGUACCUAACGAAUAAGCACCGGCUAACUCCGUGCCAGCAGCCGCGGUAAUACGGAGGGUGCAAGCGUUACCCGGAAUCACUGGGCGUAAAUAGCGCGUAGGCGGGAUAGCAAGUCAGAUGUGAAAUCCUUUGGCUUAACCAUAGAAGUGCAUUUGAAACUGUUAUUCUAGAGUAUGGGAGAGGUAGGUGGAAUUCUUGGUGUAGGGGUGAAAUCCGUAGAGAUCAGGAGGAAUACUCAUUGCGAAGGCGACCUGCUAGAACGUAACUGACGCUGAUGCGCGAAAGCGUGGGGAGCAAACAGGAUUAGAUACCCUUGUAGUC
Molecule: ribosomal RNA, 440 nt
Filed under: uncultured bacterium
Lineage: Bacteria
Description: partial 16S ribosomal RNA
Rfam family: Bacterial small subunit ribosomal RNA
Source: RNAcentral